Molecule: long non-coding RNA, 599 nt
Organism: Orcinus orca (killer whale)
Lineage: Eukaryota; Metazoa; Chordata; Mammalia; Artiodactyla; Delphinidae
Exons: 4
Source: RefSeq, a predicted model, not a curated record
GGAAACCGAGGGAGCUCAUAAACUUUCCGUUCUUGGAAAUCUUCACAAAGAAGCAAGACACGCUUAUUCAGGAACAAACUUCUUGGAUGCAAGAUAUAGGACAAGAAGUGUCAAGGGAAGCCUGCAAGUACAACCCUUUAUAACUGAAUAUUGAAGAAAUGGGAAUUUACAUUCAGACCUACAGAGAAAAUCUUCCACUUUUAUCUUCAACUUCCAGGUCUACAUGAUCAUUGUCCUGGCUAGUGCAGAUCUGCAGCAUCUGGGCGGCAGGGGUGUGGACUUUGGGAAGGAGAAGGUGCCCAAGUAGCUGCUGCUACUUUCACCUUUGCCCUCAGCUCCGGCCCUGCCCAGUCCUGCACAGUAGCAAUGGCUCCUCUGGCCUUUGGACUCUCGACUCCAUGGAAAAGGAAGUUCUUGACAGGAUAUCAGAAAAACUGGCCUGAGGUCACGUGGAUGUUACUUUGUGCUGGUGCUUGGUACCAAGCCCCCUGAGGAGACUCCCACCCUCCACCCCUGCUUCACAGCACUCUUCAGAUGCUUUGGUGAGUUUUUCCUGAUAUCUGGAUAUCCUUUUAUUAAGUAAUGGUCUGUCACUUUUA